UGGGGAAUAUUGGACAAUGGGCGCAAGCCUGAUCCAGCCAUGCCGCGUGAGUGAUGAAGGCCCUAGGGUUGUAAAGCUCUUUCACCGGUGAAGAUAAUGACGGUAACCGGAGAAGAAGCCCCGGCUAACUUCGUGCCAGCAGCCGCGGUAAUACGAAGGGGGCUAGCGUUGUUCGGAUUUACUGGGCGUAAAGCGCACGUAGGCGGACUUUUAAGUCAGGGGUGAAAUCCCGGGGCAACCCCGGAACUGCCUUUGAUACUGGAAGUCUUGAGUAUGGUAGAGGUGAGUGGAAUUCCGAGUGUAGAGGUGAAAUUCGUAGAUAUUCGGAGGAACACCAGUGGCGAAGGCGGCUCACUGGACCAUUACUGACGCUGAGGUGCGAAAGCGUGGGGAGCAAACAGG
Molecule: ribosomal RNA, 402 nt
Filed under: Verrucomicrobiota bacterium
Lineage: Bacteria; Pseudomonadati; Verrucomicrobiota
Description: Verrucomicrobia bacterium partial 16S ribosomal RNA
Rfam family: Bacterial small subunit ribosomal RNA
Source: RNAcentral